RNAcentral lists this small RNA (515 nucleotides) under Arabidopsis thaliana (thale cress). Its description in RNAcentral is "ATSL022110". The record is from RNAcentral. Lineage: Eukaryota; Viridiplantae; Streptophyta; Magnoliopsida; Brassicales; Brassicaceae.
GUAUUGUGUAAUAUUUUGAAUAUUUAUAUUGCAGAAUCGUUAAAUUAUGGAAGACUUUAGUGAAAAGAACAUUAAAACUAAACUUCAAUUCUUUUAGAAUGACAGUUUUAUAUUUAGGGAAAUUUGCAAGAAUAACUAACAAAAACUUAUAAAUUAAGAAAGUAACACAAGGCAAAAAUAUCAGCUAUACUCUCUAUAUUAUAUAUAAUAAUGGCAUAUUUACUUCUUUCUCUCCACCUCAUUCUAAGUCCCUCUUUCUCUUCUCUCUUUUUCAUUUCUUUUUCUUUCUUCUCUCAAUCUCUUCUCUUUUUCUUUUUUUUUGUAUCACAUAACAAACAAACGAAAAUGACAAACUACAAAGUUGUAUCUUAGGGUAUAGUUUUUCUAUACAUCCAAAAUAGUAUAAUACAACAUUUUAUUUCUAUCCAAAAUAGUACAUGUUUUUACUUACAAACACUAUUUACUAUUUUAUAAAUUCAGAUCCGAUUUUAAGAAUUCAAACUAUUUUGUAUGUA